GCGCAGCAGGCGCGAAUCCUCCGCAAUGCGGGCAACCGCGACGGGGGACCCCGACGUGCCGUGGCAUCGCCACGGCUUUUCCGGUAGUGUAAAAAGACUCCGGGAAUAAGGGCUGGGCAAGGCCGGUGGCAGCCGCCGCGGUAAUACCGGCGGCCCGAGUGGUGGCCGCUAUUAUUGGGCCUAAAGCGUCCGUAGCCGGGCCUGUAAGUCCCUGGCGAAAUCCCACGGCUCAACCGUGGGGCUUGCUGGGGAUACUGCAGGCCUUGGGACCGGGAGAGGCCGGGGGUACCCCUGGGGUAGGGGUGAAAUCCUAUAAUCCCAGGGGGACCGCCAGUGGCGAAGGCGCCCGACUGGAACGGGUCCGACGGUGAGGGACGAAGGCCAGGGGAGCGAACCGGAUUAGAUACCCCCGUAGUCCCUGAGACUCCAAGGCACACA
Molecule: ribosomal RNA, 438 nt
Filed under: uncultured microorganism
Description: bacterial SSU rRNA
Rfam family: Archaeal small subunit ribosomal RNA
Source: RNAcentral